This is a non-coding RNA of Pelobates cultripes (western spadefoot toad), 570 nucleotides long. NCBI's taxonomy places the organism in Eukaryota, Metazoa, Chordata, Amphibia, Anura, Pelobatidae. The record is from the annotation of a GenBank genome assembly.
AUGACCUAAUUUGUUGUAGGAACCUUUCGUCCAAUACAUUCCCAUUACAUAUCGGUCUGCAUCCUCGGGGCCAGGAUGUUCAAUAUUUAACAUUAAUUUCAUAGGGGUACUUCCUCCAGGCUUUCUUAAAGUCAUUCUUUGAAGGAGGGAUCUACCCUGAUUGUCUAUCUUAGAUAAAGCACUUUUGGGUUUAUAACCCCAGGCAGGCCCAGUAUUCCAUCCCGCAGCCCCCCAGUAGUUACAGUCAUAACCCCAUUGUUCAUCUACUACACAAACGUAAGGGUCUUUUGCUUGUGGUAUAUCUUUAUAAAUGGCUUGAAUCUGUGACUUAGGGAAUGGGCACUCUACAAUAUCACAGUAAUCAAAAGUGAAUGUAGCCACAUGGGUACAUGAUGAAUUAUACCAGAAAGUGUACCCACUAGCAUCUUUGGUGAUGGCCACCUGCUGGGCUUUAAGGAGGCCAACUAAGGAGAUAAUGUACCAGAGGCACAUGGUUGCAUAGAGUUAGCUUCCUCUGGGGCAGGUGUCUUCUUGCAAUGGGAAGCGUGGAUCCAGUUAGGCCUUCCGGCC